Molecule: long non-coding RNA, 818 nt
Filed under: Sarcophilus harrisii (Tasmanian devil)
Lineage: Eukaryota; Metazoa; Chordata; Mammalia; Dasyuromorphia; Dasyuridae
Description: lncRNA (ENSSHAG00000028756.1)
Source: RNAcentral
CAGGAAGCUGUGCCCUGAACUGGAGAUACAAGAGAGAAAAGCAAACCAUUUUAGCCAGCAAGAACAUGAUCAUCCUCUCAAGGUAUAAAUUUGGAGGAUCAAAUAUUUCAGACCCUUUUCAUUAAAGAAGGUGCCCACUAAUUCCUUCCACAAUCUACAAAGUAAAAUAUAUAGGAAGGAUUUUUUUUCUCCAAAGUGUAACCUGAUCAGACAGCUAUUUAUUGUUUGCACCAGUCAGUCUUUUUUUGAGUGUGUUAUUUAUUUGAGAGAAAUGUUUUCCUUUUCAAGCCAUGGGCCAGGCCAUUUGUUUUCUCACUUGGUGUUCUUUUUGCCUCAAGUCGUCCCUAACGACUGCCAUCUUUUAGAUUAUUCUCCUUAAGAAGCAUGACUUCCUCCUCCCCUCUACUGUCGUCAUGAUCACCACCAUCACCAAACACCAGCAUGUAGCACAGAUUGCGGCCUAAGUUCUUGGAGAGAAGCCAGUGCAUUUGUCAGGAAUUGAAAAGUUUUGGAGCUGGUUCGCAGAGUUUCUGGUACACAAAGUGUUGGCUUGGAAGCAUGAAAUAACCAACUUCUGUCUCAAGUGAAAGAGAAGAAAUGAUGUCUGCUCUUCAUCUAGGAAAGGAAAAUCUGGACAAAAACAGGUGAUCUGGUAUGCAAAGAGAAAGAGAGAGAUUGAGAGAGAGAAAGGACUGCCUGGCCAGCGGCUCUGGAAUGCCUAAAGGAUAAUUUCAGGGUAUAGAAAUGUGUCCCCAGGAGAUGUAGUGGAUGUAGGGGUGGGAAACUUCCAUCUACUGCUAUUGCAGAAGGUAAGCCAA